This is a non-coding RNA of Schistosoma mansoni, 45 nucleotides long. The record is from Rfam. Lineage: Eukaryota; Metazoa; Platyhelminthes; Trematoda; Strigeidida; Schistosomatidae.
AUCCAGUUGAUGAGUCCCGAGUAGGACGAAACGCGCGUCCUGGAU